UGUGACCCCAGGUCAGGUGGGGUUAGUCGUUGAGUUUAA
RNAcentral lists this ribosomal RNA (39 nucleotides) under Polylepis sericea. RNAcentral describes it as "partial 26S ribosomal RNA". Lineage: Eukaryota; Viridiplantae; Streptophyta; Magnoliopsida; Rosales; Rosaceae. The record is from RNAcentral. RNAcentral also lists the same sequence under 2 other names.